This 2929-nucleotide ribosomal RNA is filed under the name Staphylococcus saprophyticus. RNAcentral describes it as "23S ribosomal RNA". It matches the Rfam family "Bacterial large subunit ribosomal RNA". Lineage: Bacteria; Bacillati; Bacillota; Bacilli; Caryophanales; Staphylococcaceae. The record is from RNAcentral.
AGAUUAAGUUAUUAAGGGCGCACGGUGGAUGCCUUGGCACUAGAAGCCGACGAAGGACGUUACUAACGACGAUAUGCUUUGGGGAGCUGUAAGUAAGCUUUGAUCCAGAGAUUUCCGAAUGGGGAAACCCAGCACGAGUUAUGUCGUGUUAUCGAUAUGUGAAUACAUAGCAUAUCUGAAGGCAGACGCGGAGAACUGAAACAUCUUAGUACCCGCAGGAAGAGAAAGAAAAAUCGAUUCCCUGAGUAGCGGCGAGCGAAACGGGAAGAGCCCAAACCAACGAGCUUGCUUGUUGGGGUUGUAGGACACUCUAUACGGAGUUACAAAAGAACAGACUAGACGAAUCAUCUGGAAAGAUGAAUCAAAGAAGGUAAUAAUCCUGUAGUCGAAAGUUUGUUCACUCUUGAGUGGAUCCUGAGUACGACGGAACACGAGAAAUUCCGUCGGAAUCUGGGAGGACCAUCUCCCAAGGCUAAAUACUCUCUAGUGACCGAUAGUGAACCAGUACCGUGAGGGAAAGGUGAAAAGUACCCCGGAAGGGGAGUGAAAUAGAACUUGAAACCGUGUGCUUACAAGUAGUCAGAGCCCGUUAAUGGGUGAUGGCGUGCCUUUUGUAGAAUGAACCGGCGAGUUACGAUUUGAUGCAAGGUUAAGCAGUGAAUGUGGAGCCGUAGCGAAAGCGAGUCUGAAUAGGGCGUUGAGUAUUUGGUCGUAGACCCGAAACCAGGUGAUCUACCCAUGACCAGGUUGAAGUUCAGGUAACACUGAAUGGAGGACCGAACCGACUUACGUUGAAAAGUGAGCGGAUGAGUUGUGGGUAGCGGAGAAAUUCCAAUCGAACCUGGAGAUAGCUGGUUCUCUCCGAAAUAGCUUUAGGGCUAGCCUCAAGUGAUGAUUAUUGGAGGUAGAGCACUGUUUGGACGAGGGGCCCUUAUCGGGUUACCGAAUUCAGACAAACUCCGAAUGCCAAUCAAUUUAACUUGGGAGUCAGAACGCGGGUGAUAAGGUCCGUGUUCGAAAGGGAAACAGCCCAGACCACCAGCUAAGGUCCCAAAAUAUAUGUUAAGUGGAAAAGGAUGUGGCGUUGCCCAGACAACUAGGAUGUUGGCUUAGAAGCAGCCAUCAUUUAAAGAGUGCGUAAUAGCUCACUAGUCGAGUGACACUGCGCCGAAAAUGUACCGGGGCUAAACAUAUUACCGAAGCUGUGGAUUGUCCGUAAGGACAAUGGUAGGAGAGCGUUCUAAGGGCGUUGAAGCAUGAUCGCAAGGACAUGUGGAGCGCUUAGAAGUGAGAAUGCCGGUGUGAGUAGCGAAAGACGGGUGAGAAUCCCGUCCACCGAUUGACUAAGGUUUCCAGAGGAAGGCUCGUCCGCUCUGGGUUAGUCGGGUCCUAAGCUGAGGCCGAUAGGCGUAGGCGAUGGAUAACAGGUUGAUAUUCCUGUACCACCAUUAUUCGUUUUAAGCGAUGGGGGGACGCAGUAGGAUAGGCGAAGCGUACGAUUGGAUUGUACGUCCAAGCAGUGAGAUUGAGUGUUAGGCAAAUCCGCCACUCUUAAGAUUGAGCUGUGAUGGGGAGAGGAAAUUGUUUCCUCGAGUCGUUGAUUUCACACUGCCAAGAAAAGCCUCUAGCUAGAAUUGUGGUGCCCGUACCGCAAACCGACACAGGUAGUCAAGAUGAGAAUUCUAAGGUGAGCGAGCGAACUCUCGUUAAGGAACUCGGCAAAAUGACCCCGUAACUUCGGGAGAAGGGGUGCUCUUUAGGGUUAACGCCCAGGAGAGCCGCAGUGAAUAGGCCCAAGCGACUGUUUAUCAAAAACACAGGUCUCUGCUAAACCGUAAGGUGAUGUAUAGGGGCUGACGCCUGCCCGGUGCUGGAAGGUUAAGAGGAGUGGUUAGCUUCUGCGAAGCUACGAAUCGAAGCCCCAGUAAACGGCGGCCGUAACUAUAACGGUCCUAAGGUAGCGAAAUUCCUUGUCGGGUAAGUUCCGACCCGCACGAAAGGCGUAACGAUUUGGGCACUGUCUCAACGAGAGACUCGGUGAAAUCAUAGUACCUGUGAAGAUGCAGGUUACCCGCGACAGGACGGAAAGACCCCGUGGAGCUUUACUGUAGUCUGAUAUUGAAAUUCGGCACAGCUUGUACAGGAUAGGUAGGAGCCUGAGAUACGUGAGCGCUAGCUUACGUGGAGGCGUUGGUGGGAUACUACCCUCGCUGUGUUGGAUUUCUAACCCGCACCAUUUAUCAUGGUGGGAGACAGUGUCAGAUGGGCAGUUUGACUGGGGCGGUCGCCUCCUAAAGAGUAACGGAGGCGCUCAAAGGUUUCCUCAGAAUGGUUGGAAAUCAUUCAUAGAGUGUAAAGGCAUAAGGAAGCUUGACUGCGAGACUUACAAGUCGAGCAGGGUCGAAAGACGGACUUAGUGAUCCGGUGGUUCCGCAUGGAAGGGCCAUCGCUCAACGGAUAAAAGCUACCCCGGGGAUAACAGGCUUAUCUCCCCCAAGAGUUCACAUCGACGGGGAGGUUUGGCACCUCGAUGUCGGCUCAUCGCAUCCUGGGGCUGUAGUCGGUCCCAGGGUUGGGCUGUUCGCCCAUUAAAGCGGUACGCGAGCUGGGUUCAGAACGUCGUGAGACAGUUCGGUCCCUAUCCGUCGUGGGCGUAGGAAAUUUGAGAGGAGCUGUCCUUAGUACGAGAGGACCGGGAUGGACAUACCUCUGGUGUACCAGUUGUCGUGCCAACGGCAUCGCUGGGUAGCUAUGUAUGGACGGGAUAAGUGCUGAAAGCAUCUAAGCAUGAAGCCCCCCUCAAGAUGAGAUUUCCCAACUUCGGUUAUAAGAUCCCUCAAAGAUGAUGAGGUUAAUAGGUUCGAGGUGGAAGCAUAGCGAUAUGUGCAGCUGACGAAUACUAAUCGAUCGAAGACUUAAUCAAAUUUUA